Numida meleagris (helmeted guineafowl) is the source of this 2211-nucleotide long non-coding RNA. RefSeq lists it as uncharacterized. The record is from RefSeq and is a predicted model, not a curated record. The transcript has 2 exons. Lineage: Eukaryota; Metazoa; Chordata; Aves; Galliformes; Numididae.
UUGGGAUUUAUGGCUGCUCAGAGAACAAGCAAUGACAUGUGCCUUGCUUUACUUAGAACUCUUUGAUUCCUGUAGUAAUUCGAGGUGGACCUGGCAAUUUUUAAAGAAUUAUUUUUUAACAUGGUUAUUACCAAAUCUCAAAAGCAGUGUUGUGCCUUGGCAAACAGGGCCUGCUGCUUCUUCUGGUCUGGCUGGUAACAGCAGCUUCAAGAGGUGCUCUAAAGUGAUGGGUAGCCAAGAGCAGGAAGGUCCUGUUGUUUAUUUUCUUUUUGCAGUGGCAGUCCCUGCUGGCUGUGGAGACAAGGGGUGCACUGGAGGAAGCCCUGCUGCCUAACUUGUAGUGGUUUUGCAGGCUCCUUGCCAGGGAGGUGCUGGGGAUGCUCUGACCAAAGGCUGCUGGUAGUCCCCGUGUCGCAGGUGCAGCGCUGCAGCCUUGCCAGCCAGCCAGGCUCUGCCUCCUUCCCUUUGCAGCACCAAGGAUGGAAGAGAGCGCUCUGCUGGCCAGUGAGCCGUGUUAAGCAGUGAAAAUUUUGUAAUAUAUAACCAGAAUUUCAUUUCCUUUUUCUUUUUCUUUUUUUUUUUUUUUUUUUUCUCUUAAAAGUGAACUUAGUGCUGGUGAAAGAUGCCAGUUUGACAGCACUGGAGACUAAGUCCUGAAUUUAUCCAUCGAACAGGUUCAGCACGGGUAGCAGCAGUGCAAGAUUCUCCACACUGCCCUGCCACUGUGCCUCAACUCUGACCUGGAGGGACCACCUCUGGGGAAAUAAAAACAUCUUUCAAGAAAGCACAUAAGACAUCUAAUAUUUACUCAAGAGACUGAAACAGCUUCUUCUGAGUUCCUCCUACCUCUUGGGGAAAAUAAGUAAUUAGACCAAAACCAAAACAAAACACGUCUUCUGAACCCAGGAGAUACUAUUUCAGCCUCUGGAGUAGGAAUGCUAUUAGGUAGGGCUCUUUUUUCUUCCUUUUUUUUUUUUUUCUUUAGCGUAAUUAAGAAAGGUGGGGAGGGGGAAAUCUUGAUACCUGAGAGACCAGAAUGGCUGCUUUUGCCCAAAUAUGUAAUUAGAAGCUGAGAUAUUCGUAGUGAAAAUGGAAAUAAAAACUGUACACGCAUGGAAGAGAACACUCCAUUUACAAAGGGAAUAGUUUAAGCUUUGUUUACUGCAUUUUAAGCUACUGCCAGGCAGGAACAUAAUGGUUUGCCCCUUCCUUGAAAUUGUUUUAGUUAUUGAUACAGCUGAAGGAAGUAAAUUUGAUUUGCCUUCUCAGAUGUUCCAAUGGGAGAAAACUGUCCUGGUUAUGAGUGCCAUGCCUCAAUUGACGUAAUUGUUAUUGCUGAGUCUUAAGUGAAAGACGUUUUUAUAAUUUAAAAUAUUCAUUUAAAUUUAAUCGUGACAGAAUGAAGAUCUCAAUAAGAGUAUAAAAUUAAUUUAUAGUAAUAGUGCUGAUCAUGUGGCAGGCACUCCAGUCAUCGUGCAGAGUUGCUGGUUACCAUCUCUCUGUUCAGGCUGGCAGACCAGUCCUUAAAAAUCUGGUUUAGUGUCAGAGUGUGACAGCACACAGUGAAGAACUUGCAUUUGUACACCAGGCCAUCUUGAAGUUGUCCAAGAAAGACUUACAAACAAUGUGAAGGGUACAAACAAUAGGAAACACAUUUCUCUCUCAAAUAACAAAAACGAUUAAUGAUCUGAAAUGUAUUUUUUUUUCCAGAAGUGUCACUCAAUUUGAAGUCAUCGUGUGAAAGGGACUUAUUGUGUUUAAUCUUUAGGACAUCUUUGGGAUUUGGGGCUACUAUGUUACUACUUACAUAAUAGCUGCAUUAAAUCAACUACUCUCCAAAUCCUUGUGAAAUGUCGUCAUGGGAUUGAGGCAAUUUGGAAAUACUGUGUUUUGUCCAAAGAGCAACGAGCUCUGUAAUCAGAUCGCACAUACCAAGGUUUUCAGAAGUAGCUCAGUCUUUUAGUGCCCAGCUAUAAUAUUUUAAAAGACUGAGGUUGGAAGUUUGGCUUUUGUUUCUUGACGAGUGGCUUAUAGCUUUCUGACUAUAGAUCUUUCUGAAGCCUGCCCAAGACUGCUGCAUUGCUUUUGAAAACUUGGGUGUCUGCUUGUUUCAAUACUGACUACAGUGCUGCAGAAAACAGUGUGUGAAAUCAAUUGAUGCGACCCAAACCUGUGGAUCUGGAGGAAAAGAAAAAAAAAAAAAAAAGCUGA